RNAcentral lists this ribosomal RNA (253 nucleotides) under uncultured bacterium. RNAcentral's name for it is "partial 16S ribosomal RNA". It matches the Rfam family "Bacterial small subunit ribosomal RNA", at positions 524 to 776 of the family's 1533-position model. The record is from RNAcentral.
UACGUAGGGGGCAAGCGUUGUUCGGAAUUACUGGGCGUAAAGGGCGCGUAGGCGGCACGACAAGUCGGGAGUGAAAGCCCGGGGCUCAACCCCGGAAUGUCUCUCGAAACUGUCGAGCUAGAGUGCAGCAGAGGCAACUGGAAUUCCCAGUGUAGCGGUAAAAUGCGUAGAUAUUGGGAAGAACACCUGAGGCGAAGGCGGGUUGCUGGGCUGACACUGACGCUGAGGCGCGAAAGCCAGGGGAGCGAACGGG